This 589-nucleotide ribosomal RNA is filed under the name uncultured bacterium. Its description in RNAcentral is "bacterial SSU rRNA". It matches the Rfam family "Bacterial small subunit ribosomal RNA", at positions 8 to 609 of the family's 1533-position model. The record is from RNAcentral.
AGAGUUUGAUUCUGGCUCAGGAUGAACGCUGGCGGCGUGCCUAAUACAUGCAAGUCGAGCGAACCACUUCGGUGGGAAGCGGCGAACGGGUGAGUAACACGUAGGUGAUCUGCCCAUCAGACGGGGACAACGAUUGGAAACGAUCGCUAAUACCGGAUAGGACGAAAGUUUAAAGAUGCUCCUGGCAUCACUGAUGGAUGAGCCUGCGGCGCAUUAGCUAGUUGGUGGGGUAAAGGCCUACCAAGGCGACGAUGCGUAGCCGACCUGAGAGGGUGAACGGCCACACUGGGACUGAGACACGGCCCAGACUCCUACGGGAGGCAGCAGUAGGGAAUCUUCGGCAAUGGGCGAAAGCCUGACCGAGCAACGCCGCGUGAAUGAAGAAGGCCUUCGGGUUGUAAAAUUCUGUUAUAAGGGAAGAAAGGUGAUAGGAGGAAAUGACUAUCAGUUGACGGUACCUUAUGAGAAAGCCACGGCUAACUACGUGCCAGCAGCCGCGGUAAUACGUAGGUGGCAAGCGUUAUCCGGAAUUAUUGGGCGUAAAGAGCGCGCAGGUGGUUAAUUAAAUCUGAUGUGAAAGCCCACGGCU